This 1437-nucleotide long non-coding RNA is filed under the name Phaseolus vulgaris (common bean). Its description in RNAcentral is "long non-coding RNA (PVUL_LNC001525)". The record is from RNAcentral. Lineage: Eukaryota; Viridiplantae; Streptophyta; Magnoliopsida; Fabales; Fabaceae.
UUUUAUUUGUUUUGAAAUGUGGUUCUGUUGGGUUAUGGGAAAUUAUGACUUCUAUUGUUGAUGUAACAUGGUCUGUUUCUUUGUCUACCGCAGCUUUGGUUUCUUAGGCUCAUGUUAGGUGGUGCUUAAUAUUUGUGGGUCUACUUUAGUGGCAUUGCCGCUUUCAAACCUCAUUUUCCAUGUGAUUGGUUUGGGUAGAUAAACGUUUCACUCCUUAUUGAUAAAUGAUACCAAAUUGCAGUAAAAGGAUGUGCUAAGGAACAUAGAUCACCACUUGAAGUACGUACUCUAUCUCCUUUCGUGUUGUCUAAUACUUAUUUAGAAGGAUUAGGACACUUCUGAAUAAAUUGUCCAUCUGGUUAUUCAUUCUCACCAAUGGCUUUAAUGGUCAAAUCUGCAUUUAAGGGGACAUGUUGCAGUCUCUGGUGUAGGGUGCUCGUUUUUUGCUUGAUCAAUUUCUCAUUUGCAAGUUUUAUCUUGAAUAAUUUCCAAGUGUACUUUUCAUAUGUAUUUCUCUUGUAGCCGGUCUCUAUCGAUAAUUUGAAGGUGUUGUGAUAUGUCUCUUUACUUUAUUUGAAGAUCGAAGGAAUUUUAAAUACCAACAAAAAAAUUAUGUGGACUUCUCUGAUGUGAUCUGAAACUUGCCAUAAACUUGUAUGGCCCUUUUUUGUGUUUUUCUAUUUGCCUUUUAUUUUUCGUUAGUAAAGGCGAGCAUGCCUCUAUUGGUAUCUUACGUGAUGAAUGGGGAAGUUUCAUUCUGCCUGUGGCUUUCUGUUGUUAUUUUAUAGUUUCUUUUCAUCUUUAAGCAUAUGGAUGCCUCAAGUUUUUGAGUUUAUGCGUGAUUCGAAGAAAACAUUUUGUUUUUCUGACUUUAUAAUGCAAUCCUAUUUUAGUUAAAAUGAUUGGAAUUAGUAGAUUCACUCUACUGAUUGAUGACAUGUGAACUUUGGGGCAUUUUUUCUUGUUUCCAGGGUAUGGCUUGUGGAUUAUAUUUUUAAUGCCAGCAUGCCUAAAUUGGUAUCUCAUCUCAUGUGAUGCAUGAAGAAGUUUCAUUUUGCCUGUGCCUUUCUGUUAUGAGGAAGUUCUUUCAACUUUAAGCAUUUGAUUGCCCCAAUUUUCUUUUGUUAAUGUAUGAUUCAAGGAAAACUUGUGCCUUGUUUAUGACUUUAUAAUGCAAUUUCUUUUUGUUAAAAUGACUGGAAUUUGUUGAUUCCCUCUAUUGUUUGAUGACAUGCGAAAAUUUGGGGGUUUUAUUUCUGAUUUAAUUUUUUAUGCUGCGGCUACUUUGUAAAUAACCAUCAUUAAUGUUAUGAAUGAUUUGAUGUCGUCAUUUGGAGACUCACUUUCUCCAUUUUUAUGAGUUUAAAGUUUGCAGAAAAAGUUUUGACGAGUCAAUCAAGUUCACAAUACCACUAUAGGGUUGCUCCAUCGAAUUUG